This 2319-nucleotide long non-coding RNA is filed under the name Coffea arabica (coffee). RNAcentral's name for it is "long non-coding RNA (CARA_LNC002615)". Lineage: Eukaryota; Viridiplantae; Streptophyta; Magnoliopsida; Gentianales; Rubiaceae. The record is from RNAcentral.
CAGGGAAGAAAGAAAGAGAGAGUUUCGUGCAAACCUUGAGGAACCGAAGCUGAAGCUAGAGCAGUUGGCAAUUUCAGAUUCUAAGGAAAGAAAAAAAAAGAGGUAAAAUUUUGUAAAUCUCCUGCUUAUUUAGUAUAAUUGAAUGUUUAAGCUGCAUAUAAACUUUAGUUAGGAAAAAUGAGUUCUUGGUUGAGAAAAUUUUCUCUUCCUGUCUUGCUUCAUCUUCCAACCGAGAGAAAGGCUUGAGAAAGAGAGAAAACAAAGCUCUUGUUUCAACUUCAGCCGAGAGAAGGAAAGAAUCUGGUUAGGUUACCUUAAGAACUUUGGCUCCAAAAUUUUACCUUGAGACUUGAUUUGUUACAUAGUAUCUUAACUGUAACCUGCAUGGAAGAGUUGUACAUGAAUAAAGAAACUUUUGAAGAGCUUCAUGUUGUAUAAUUAGUUGCCGCAUGCGUUUCUUUCAAUUUGGCCGAGAAGAAGGCCUGGUUCAGCUAUGGUUUCGGCUUCUUGGCUGUUCCUUGCAAACCCUUAGCUUCUAAGCUGACUUACAGAGUUGAAACCUGUCCUAAUGCCUCUAAACUUUAACCAGGAAAACAGGAAUGAGUAGGAACUAAACUAAGUGAUAAAGGGGGGAACAAGUUCACUGAUUACAGGUUGUUGGUCGAGGGAAGAAAGCAAAAGGUGCUUCUGACCGGCCAUUUUUUACCUUGAAAUGCGAGAACUGGGUGUCAAUGUCUUCAUAAGAAAUGUAGGUCUAUGUCUUGCUUCGAAACACUAUAAAAUUCGCCUCAAUCCGAUAAGCGUAGCUCCAGUUAUGAUCAAAAAACUAGAGGAUGGCAAAGCUGCCAUCUUCCUUGUUCCUCAUUGCUUUCUUUUAUUUCCCGAAUGCAUUUUGCUAUAAUGUUAGCCAUGAGAAAACCUUUUUUUGAACAGCAUUUCAUCUAAUUUCCAACCCUGUAAGCUUUCAUAAAUGAUAGCUAAGGUUGUUCUGAGAUUUAACAACUAUAUCUAGUUCCACGAGUAGAGUUAAAUUAAAGCAAAUGAGAGGAAAACUCAUGAUAGUUAUAUACCUAAAUUGGCUUCUAAUCACUUAAUAUUGCCUUUACAAAUAUUUUAUAAAUUAUUAAUUUGAAAAAUACGUAUGUUUCUUGAUUUAAGAUAAUAAAAUCAAUAAGUCUCGAAAUAAAUUGGGGAAUAAAUAUUGCGUGUAUUUUGUAUUUUAAGAUCAAACUCGAUUUUAAUAGUUUAAACAAUAAGGUAGAAUAAAUGUUGAAUAUGUUAUAUUUUAUAUUUUAAAGUCAAACUUAAUUUGAAUAAUUUAAAUAAUAGGUAAACAUCUACAAAUUGUAAAUUUAUCAUGGAAUUAUAUAUUUAUCUCAGGAAGUAGCUGCGUGCCAGGAAAUAAACCCGAGACUCGAGAGUAAUUUAUUUAAGAAUUUGGUGAGUGUUUUCCGAAUUUAUGUGUUUAACUGUUUAUGUUUACUUAAGUGAAAUUAUGUGAUAAAUAUGCUUAUUAUGAAAUAUUGCUAAGUGAUUCAUUGUAAAGUGUAUUUCAAUUGUCCCUCGCCUUCUAAGUCGAGAGUGCACUUUAUCGCACUCAGUUUAGUUGAGUUUGAAGGUCGAUAAUUGACUGAAUGUUACUGUAAGUGCGCAUGAAUCUAAGCCGUAUGUGUGUCCCGCCGCAUCGGCUGAAUUGGGCCCCAAAACCCUCUGUUCAAUGGACUAUUCUAGCCAGCAAAGGGUUUGGUCGGGUAGGACGGUAGAUUUAGAUAAAUGUUUCGGUAUACUCGAAUAUUACCAUGAGGUUGGGAGAUUAUUGAAUUGAUUAUUGAAUGUAGGGGAUUGUUUAUUGUUUUGGAGGACAUAAGGAGGUUAAUUGGCAGAAUGUACAAUGAUAUUGAAAUGAAUGUAUAAUGACAGUGAAAUGAGUGUCUCUUGACACUGAAAUGAAUGCUCAAUGACAUUGAAGUGGCUCUAAUGCGAGCACCGUAUCCUUUUAAAAGUGAUUGUUUAGUGAAGUGUUUCCCCAAUUGCUUAAUGAAAGUGAUUGUAUAGUGAAAUGUGCACUACUUGCUUAAUUGUACUGAUUUAAGUGUUUAUUAAAUGUUACUUGUUCGGCAAAGCUCACUGAAUUUUAGCUCAGCCCUUUUAGUUUUGUUUUCCUUACAGGAGUUGGUCGUCAGGGAACGAGCGAGGGAUCUUAGGAAGUUAACGUGAAGACUUUUGUGAUUGUAAAUUCUUUAGUUUCAUAUUAUGGUUGAAACUUUUGUAUUGAACUUGGUAUUGUAAAAGAUUUGAGCGUUUGGUUUUGGUUUAUCA